Molecule: RNA transcript, 3484 nt
Organism: Corythoichthys intestinalis (scribbled pipefish)
Lineage: Eukaryota; Metazoa; Chordata; Actinopteri; Syngnathiformes; Syngnathidae
Gene: slc41a2b
Gene name: solute carrier family 41 member 2b
Exons: 14
Source: RefSeq, a predicted model, not a curated record
AUCAUGAACCAUAUUUUUUGUUGUUGUAAAGCACUGCGAGGACCUUUCGGCUUUUUGUGUAACGGCCAAUAUAUUAAAUUUGAUUUCAUUUGAAGAAGACGUCCCACUGUGAUUUCCUCCAUGCGUAAUGAAACGACGGCGACGCGAUAAGGAAUGCGAGGGAGUCAUCUUAGCUUUGUGGAAAAUCUUUGGUCAGUUCAUUGCCGAGGCUGUUUGGCUGCCUGUCAUCAUCGUCUUUCAACAUCUUCGAUUUUGGAUGAAAACUCUUCGCAUCGCCAUGACUGUUGCAUCUCCAACCCCUUGAAAUGGCCGCCCCACUGGUAUCAUCAUAAAAGCCGUUCUGAGACAAGAAGGUGGGAGAUGAGACGUCAGUGCACGAGACCGCAUCAUGAGCAUCGAGAGUCUCGGCGGAGCGAUCGGGGACUCCCUGGGCUCUAGCCUGAUGGUACGACUGAGCGGCGUCCGAAAUUCUCUGUCCCUGAAAUCCGCGGGUCGGAUCAGCUCCCUUUUUCAAACCAUGGUCCCGACCGGCUACAGCAAGCUCCAGGAGGAGCGUCUGGCUAUGACAGACCUCUGUGACAAACCCGAAACUGGCGCUCUCCAAAACGGUUACAGACAAGAAACGCCUCACCUAGAAGGACGGCGCCUGCUGGACCGCGUUUCUCGCUCCUCCAUCACUCUGUCGGACUCCGGAGAUGGAAACUACUCAGAACUGGAGCCCAUGUUGGCUGAAAGGAGGCUUUCUGGAGAUAAAGCGGAAGAGGAUGAAGAGGAAGAGGUGCAACCUGUUGUCCACAUUCUGCCUAAGGAGUCGCCGCUGGCCAUGGCUUUGCAGAUCCUCGUGCCUUUCCUAUUGGCUGGUUUUGGAACCGUGUCCGCCGGUAUGGUGUUGGAUGUUGUGCAGCACUGGGAGGCGUUCCAGUACAUCACGGAGAUCUUCAUCCUGGUUCCCGCUCUGCUUGGCCUCAAGGGCAACUUGGAGAUGACGCUGGCCUCGCGCUUAUCGACGGCGGUGAACGUGGGCAAAAUGGAUUCUCCAAUAGAGAAGUGGAAUCUAAUAAUAGGCAACCUGGCACUCAAGCAGGUUCAGGCCACCGUAGUGGGCUUUUUGGCAGCCGUGGCGGCGGUGGUUCUCGGCUGGAUUCCAGAGGGGAAGUUUCAGAUGAGCCACGCCGUGCUGCUGUGCUCCAGCAGCGUCGCCACGGCUUUUAUUGCCUCUAUGCUGCAGGGUUUCAUCAUGGUCGGCGUGAUCGUGGGCUCCAAAAAGACCGGCAUCAACCCGGACAACGUGGCCACGCCUAUCGCCGCCAGUUUCGGCGACCUCAUCACGUUGGCCAUCCUGGCGUGGAUCAGCCAGGGCCUCUACAAGUGCCUGGAUUCCUACCCGUAUGUUUCCUCUCUGGUGUGUGCCUUCUUCAUGUGUCUGACGCCUCUGUGGAUCAUUGUCUCCUCCAAGCACCCGGCCAGCCGCACGCUGCUCUACUCCGGAUGGGAGCCGGUCAUCACGGCCAUGGUCAUCAGCAGCAUUGGAGGGCUCAUCUUGGAUAAAACGGUGUCAGACCCCAACCUGGCUGGAAUAGUAGUAUACACCCCUGUAAUCAAUGGUAUUGGCGGUAACUUGGUGGCCAUUCAGUCCAGCCGCAUCUCCACAUUCCUGCACUUCCACUGCGCCCCUGGGGAGGUCCCUGACGAGGCCAAGGGUUGCUACUACCCCUGCCGCACGUUCUUUGGAACCGGAGCAAAUCACCGGUCGGCUCAGGUUCUCCUCCUUCUGGUGAUCCCCGGGCAUCUAAUAUUCCUUUACACCAUCCACCUGAUGAAGAGCGGACACACCACGUUGACGCCCAUCUUCACGUCGGUUUAUUUGGCAGCCGCUCUGCUGCAGGUUCUGCUGCUGUUGUGCAUCGCCGAUUGGAUGGUGCAUUCCAUGUGGCGCAGCGGCAAAGACCCGGACAGCUUCUCCAUCCCGUACUUGACGGCGCUGGGCGACCUGCUGGGAACGGCGCUGCUGGCGCUUAGCUUCCACUUCUUGUGGCUCAUUGGUGACCAGGACAGCGACGUAGGCGACUAACGCCGGGUGACGUAAUCAAUUGUUCCGUAUUAGCAUCUUUUUUGCACCGAAGCUCUUGGUAUCACGAGAGACUACAUGUUACUAAUACUCUUUUUUUUGUGGUUAAAUGGAGGUGCCAUUUGAGAUUUUUUUCACCUUUGGACUUUAAAAGAAAAGCAAAAGGGGGACUAACAGUAACACACCAGCAAAAAAAAAAAAAAAAAGUCCACUGUGUGGAUAUGGCUUGUCAUUUGUAAAUUGAACUCCCAAGUUGGCUGCUUGUAACAUCGUGACCACAAGCAUGUGUGCAUUUCUAUGGUUGUCCAUCUCGGCACGGUCUGUUUGUUCAGUCUCUUGUGGGCAAAACAGGAAGUUUUCAAUUCCAGUUUAUGCCUCAAGAGUUUUUGUCAAUUGACAACAUGUUUGUUUCAUUUCAAAUUUGUCAGAUUUGGCAUCCAUCCACUGCCAUUGAAGCACGAGUAUGGAUGCCAUGUAAAUGUCUUUGUUGUUUGAAUAAAUAUUUCAUAUCUCAUUUAUUGUCAUUUUUUUCCCAGUUGAAUCUAAUUGAGCGGAUUUAAAAUUCAUUUUCACAGUAGCAGGCAGAUGUCACGAUACGUCCGUGCUCCAUAAUCGAUUGGGAAAAGUUCCAGCCAGCUCGUCCGACACGAGCUCCAAUAAAUGAUAAUAAUUGUCUUGAGUAAGGUCACCUAUUUAGGAUGCCAGACGUUUGGGGGUUCCGGAGCGACCUGAUACGAGCGCCGACUGGAUGGUGCAUUCCAUGUGGAGCAGCCGCUUCUCCAUCCCGUACUUGAUGGCUCUGGGCGACCUGCUGGAAACGAGGCCUACAACAAUGUUAACGAUGUUUUAAGAACUUCUAAUGGAGGACGACAACAACAAAAGGCCUACAACAAUGUUAACGACGCUUUUAGAACUUACUGUGAUGGAGCACGACAAAAAACAAACCUCAUGUCCCCUCUACCACCUCUGUGCAACCUGCUGUAGGACGACACUGGACAGAAAGCGCUCAACAAACUGGAGGAAGUAAGUCUCUUAUAACAAUACUGCAAGGCAUCUCUCGAUUCAAGUUCACCCUGUCGAGUCUCGACUCACCACGGGCCACUUAUCUAGUCAACGGCACGCACUUCGCCUUAGCAGAGCUUGGGUAAUUAUCAUAUUAAUGGUCUUAUGGUAAUAGGAGGAUCAGAGCUCUGCUUUGCGGUUAAGUGGAACAACGCCACGACUGAUGACAGCGACCCAUGUUGAAAGCUCGUUUCAUGGUUUCUUCGAAGUGCAUCAACAUUUGACGCAUUGAUUCCUUUAAUUACAUUCUCUUUGAGUGUGACUCCUUUAAUUAAUUGUAAAUUUUGUGUGAAUCCAAUGUGAAAUUUAAUAACACGUCUAUGGAAAUUGCUCCAUUAGGAGAGAAAGAGAAAA